This 72-nucleotide transfer RNA is filed under the name Camelus bactrianus (Bactrian camel). It matches the Rfam family "tRNA". From Rfam's summary of the family: Transfer RNA (tRNA) molecules are approximately 80 nucleotides in length. Their secondary structure includes four short double-helical elements and three loops (D, anti-codon, and T loops). The record is from Rfam by way of RNAcentral. Lineage: Eukaryota; Metazoa; Chordata; Mammalia; Artiodactyla; Camelidae. RNAcentral also lists the same sequence under 2 other names.
GAGGGUAUAGCUCAGUGGUAGAGUGAAUGCCUAGCAUACACAGCGUCCUGGGUUCCAUCCCCAAUACCUCCA